UUGCUCAAGUAUGGAGGCCACUCACGAUCGAUUCACUAAAGCAGAGAGGCCAUUCUUUAUCGAUCCAAAAUUCUACUCAGUGAGGUUAGAUUCAUGGUUUUUGAUUCCCAGCUCCGGACUGUGACCUAGCAUUCAAACGGCACCAAGCGAGUAACUUCGAUCAACCCUUUCAUCGACUCAACUUCUAUCCAGGGCUUCAACAUUGGUUCAGCAUUACGGUAACGGUUUGCAUUACUAUUGGCUUGAUAUUGUACUGUUGGUGAUAGCUACCAUCUGGAUUUUGAUCGGUUGUGUUGGUAUAUGUUGAGUUAUUCGUAGGCUGUAUUAUUUUCUUCUGGUGUUUUGGAUAAACAUGAUUUAAUCCUGCUGUUUGAUGCUGUACGUUUAAGGUCAUAAAUCUUGUUUCGAGUAUGUCCUUAAUUUCCAAUUGUCCACUUUAUUGUCAUUCAAAUUGUUGAUGUUGUAAAGUUAAAAAAAAACAUGGUUUUGCUUGUUGAUUAUCUGUUUAAAAUUGUGCCGUCUUUAGAGCCAAUUCGUGUUUUAAUCCAAAAUUCUGGUUGGCUUUCGCAUUGAGUUCGAUUGAUUCAUUGGCAUACAGAGUUUAAGCUGAAUAAGUUUUACUGCGUGAUUCUAAAGGUUUGCUUGCCUGGUAAUGACAGAGUGCAUAGAUAAGUAAUGUCUAGCCAUCAUAUGCAUUUCGUUUCGAAUAGCAAUUUGAUGCGUUAAUUGGAAUCAUGAGUGUUAAUGUAUGGCUUUACAAGUUUUAUUGAAAAACAUGGUUUUUGCAUGUUAAUAUUGCUUAAGUUGUCACAUAUUAUGAUGGGUUUUCAUGUGUGUUCUAGGGCGUUACUGUUGGUUCGAGUCUUUUCUUCUCCCUAAGCUUUAAUUCGGAAUGAAAGUAGCAUUUAAAGCAUCACGAUAAUGACUAUUAGAAUUCUAAUUUUACAAAGUAUACAUUAGUUAGUUACACUGAAUUCCGGAUUAUGGCGUGGCUUUUCUAGUUUCGGUACUCCGUAGGAAAAGGUUGUGGAGUGGGUUUACAGCCCUAUGAUUUUUCUUGCAAUUAGAAUGACAUUCAUAAUUGAUAUUUCUUUUAUUGAAUAUUUAGAGUUGUGUUGUUGUUAUAACUAUUGUAAAUAAUAUCAUUGUUUUUUUUUAUGAAUUUAAAUCCAGUGGAUCCGACUUCUACGUGUCGAUAUACCCUCAAAAGUUUCAACACAUCGAAAGAAUAUUUUUCGCCGAGUUAUGAGUUCGCGAAUAACAUUAAUUGUUGCUAUCUCGCAUAAACCGGUCUGAACACACCGAUUCAAUUCCUAUAAAUCAAAGUUGUCACUAAUUUGUUUUUUUCAUAAAAAAUAUUAUUAGUUGAAUUUUUGUCUGAUUAAUUGCUUUUAAUUAAUUAACCUUAAUUAACUUAAUUAUUUAAGAUAAUUAAAUAGUUUUGAUAAUUAGUUUUAAUUAAUUCGAUUAAUCAACUUACUUAAAAUUUGAUAAUAAUCAAAGGAUUUUCUUUUCCAUCACCAUUUCACAAUCAUUCUUAAUUCAACUUCAUUUCAAUUCAUUAUCCAUUCAAAGCCAAUUUCAAAAAGCACAAAUCACAAUUCUCGAUUUAACAUCGAGUCCAUUUUAAAACACCCUUGUAAGUCGAUUGCUCUUCGCAUCGCCAUCAACCUCACAUAGCUUACUCUUGGGCUUUCUUACAAUGAAGCCUACUUGGUUAUUGACUAAUCGAGUAGAUGAAAUAAUACACUAAAUAAAAAUUCAUUUCAUUUAUAAACACAAAUUCCAAUCACUUUUCCAAACCAUUCAAUUUCAAAAGAAUUUUCUUUUAAACAUAAAUUUGGGAUGAAAAGGAGAUAGGAAGCGUACGCUUCACUAUUUCUCAAGCACUUGAAUAAUUGGCGUACGCCAUAUUGCGCGAGUUCUUGUCACCCGAUUAAAUCUUAAAUCACACAAUUUCAAAUCAUUUCUACAAAUUCCAAAUACUUUUAAUUCCAUAUUUCAGAUGAAAAGGAGAAUAGUGAGCAUCCGCUUCAUUAUCUCUCGAUUAUUCGAAUAAUUGGCGUACGCCACAUUGCUCGAAUCUUCGUCAUCAAUUCAAAACCACAAUCGAAUAAACCCAAACCUACCAAAAUUCAAACCAUUUUCGCACAUCAAAUGCAACAUCCAAACAUAUCUUUUACAAUUUAAACCUCGGAUGAUAAAAGAGAUAGGAGGCGUACGCCUCACCAUCUCUCAAUUAUUUGAAUAAUUGGCGAACGCCAUAUUGCACAAAUUAUCGACGUCCGACUAAAACACGCUAAAUAAACUUGGAUAAGGGAAUAAGAGACCCACCUUCAUCUCCUCCACAAAUCACCGUCAUCACGCUCACCACCACCAAACCCCAAAUCGCUUCACCUUCAAAAACCCUCAACCCUCUUCUCCUUCGUCAUCAACCGCUUCAAACCCUAUCCACCACUCUAACCAUCAAACCCUCACCGUGAAUCGCCAUCACUAACCGUGAAGCUCGCCGCCGCUCAAACCUCCGCUUCUUCACCACCAACAAACCCUCGCGAAUCCACCAUCUCCAACUCACCAUCGAAACCCAUUCACCUCACAACCCCAAAAUCGUCCACGGUUCUCCACCAGGAACAACUCCACGAACAACCACCUCCGUAAAAAACGCGACACACCACCAACACCUCAAAACCCUCGCUCCAUCCGCUACUGCAACUCUUUUACUCCACCGACAAAACGCACACAACCGUCAUUCAUUCUUGCUCAAGUAUGGAGGCCACUCACGAUCGAUUCACUAAAGCAGAGAGGCCAUUCUUUAUCGAUCCAAAAUUCUACUCAGUGAGGUUAGAUUCAUGGUUUUUGAUUCCCAGCUCCGGACUGUGACCUAGCAUUCAAACGGCACCAAGCGAGUAACUUCGAUCAACCCUUUCAUCGACUCAACUUCUAUCCAGGGCUUCAACAUUGGUUCAGCAUUACGGUAACGGUUUGCAUUACUAUUGGCUUGAUAUUGUACUGUUGGUGAUAGCUACCAUCUGGAUUUUGAU
Molecule: long non-coding RNA, 3041 nt
Filed under: Lathyrus oleraceus (garden pea)
Lineage: Eukaryota; Viridiplantae; Streptophyta; Magnoliopsida; Fabales; Fabaceae
Description: Pisum sativum (pea) long non-coding RNA (PSAT_LNC037688)
Source: RNAcentral